AAUGAUAGAGGUAACUUAAUGACCAGAUAAUGAUAGAGGUAACUAAUGACCAGAUAAAUGAUAGAGGUAACUAAUGACCAGAUAAAUGAUAGAGGUAACUAAUGACCAGAUAAUGAUAGAGGUAACUAAUGACCAGAUAAAUGAUAGAGGUAACUAAUGACCAGAUAAAUGAUAGAGGUAACUAAUGACCAGAUAAUUGAUAGAGGUAACUAAUGACCAGAUAAAUGAUAGAGGUAACUAAUGACCAGAUAAAUGAUAGAGGUAACUAAUGACCAGAUAAUGAUAGAGGUAACUAAUGACCAGAUAAUGAUAGAGGUAACUUAAUGACCAGAUAAAUGAUAGAGGUAACUAAUGACCAGAUAAAUGAUAGAAGUAACUUAAUGCAGAAGUUAUUCUUGGAAGACUAAAAACAGAAGUGAAUAAGGUCUGUUUGAAACUAUUUGUUAUCUUCUGUCUCCUCUCCUGACCAAGGCUGCAGUACCUCUUUCCCCUCCUCUCUCCCAAUACUCUUCCUUUAUCUC
Oncorhynchus keta (chum salmon) is the source of this 521-nucleotide long non-coding RNA. RefSeq lists it as uncharacterized. The record is from RefSeq and is a predicted model, not a curated record. Lineage: Eukaryota; Metazoa; Chordata; Actinopteri; Salmoniformes; Salmonidae. The transcript has 4 exons.